Molecule: long non-coding RNA, 7118 nt
Organism: Amphiprion ocellaris (clown anemonefish)
Lineage: Eukaryota; Metazoa; Chordata; Actinopteri; Pomacentridae
Exons: 2
Source: RefSeq, a predicted model, not a curated record
UAAUAAUAAUAAUAAUAAUAAUGAUAAUAAUAACAACAACAUAAAUACUGUUUUUUAAUUUUUAAAAUGACUUUUUUGUUUUUUAAAGGACUACUAUUAUUUAUUUCACAGCUGUAUUAAUUUCACCGGAUUCUUUUUUUUUUUUUUUAUGAAUUUAUUUGUUAAUUUAAUAUUGAAUGAAAUGAUGUUAGAUUCUAUGUUCAUUUUCUAAAUCAGGAUUUACAUUCAGAAUUCAACAGUAAAUCCAUUUAGAUCUGUAAUCCAGUGUUAGUUUUAUCUUUAGUCAGUCAGAGAUGCAAAAGCAGCCAAAUUUAAUUCAGAAUUUGAAGAUUACUUUCUUCAGUUUUACACAAAUCUCCAAAAAUCAAAUCCAAGAAGUGAGGGAUGAGAGUGGAUUCUAGAAGACGUGAAGUUAACAGGAUAAAUCUUUGAUCAUUUUAUUUAGCAGAAUGAAUAAUAUAUCAUAUAAUGAAUAAAACAAGCAGCUCUGCAGUGAACACGUCAUGUUCAUAUGUUCACAAAUGAAUCCUCGUCCAAAGAUAGUAAACCUCUAAUUCUGGAUAAAGAGCAGCAGAAAUGAGCUCAGAAACCCGAAGAAGCUUUUAUUUAGAGGUUAAAGGACCAGAAUGUCUGAAACAACUAACCUGGAAAUAUAUUUAACCGUCAUGUCGUCCUGCGGGUCAAAAUUAACCCGUUUUAAAGUUUGAAAAUAUGGGAAAUAAAUAUAUUUUCACAGUGAAACUUCUGAUGUCCACAUUUUCAACAUUUCUGGGAAAUCUUUGAACAUUUUUUGGUGGAAAAAAAGAAAUGUUAAAAAUGUUUCUGAAGAACAUUCACAUAAAAAUCAACCAAAGUCCGGCGAAUUUUGCUGGAUUUUAGUUGAUUUUUAUGUGAAUGUUCUGAAAGAAAAUAUUAGAAGUUUUAAUGAUAUAUAUGGAAUCACUUUAGAUAUUUUUAGGAUUUUUUUGGGAACAUUUUUACGAUUUUUUUGAAAAUAUUUACAAGAAUUUUCUUGCCAAAUUUGGGGGAUUUUUUAAAAAUUAAACUUUUAAGGGAAACUUUUAAGGAAUUAUUGGAAUUUUCUUCCUGAAGGUUUUGCAAAUUUUCAGAAAUUUGGUGAAUUUUUUUUCUGAAUUUUUGGAUUUUUUUCAGACAAGGAAACAAUAUUUUUGGUAACUGUAAAUGAGGACAGCAGGAGGGUUAAAGAAACACAAAUCCAACAGAAUCAUCUUUGAAAACAACAUGAAAAGAAACAUGGACUUCCUAAACCUCCUGGACUCAUCACUGUAGCAAUAUUUGUUUUUCAGGAAUGUUUUUCUGUCCUCGAAACUUCCAAACUCUUCUUCUGCUCUCGCCGUGGUUUCCUUCUCCUCGUCCAUCUGAACCUUCGGCUGACCUUUCUCAACUAAAAGUUUAUUAUUUCAGACGCUGGGUUUGGAUUAGAAACUUCAUUUGGCACAAUUCCUUCCUCAGACGCUGAAAAAAAUCCACUGAACGCUAAAAAGGCUUCAAGACAUCUAAGAACUGAUGUGGAAAAACCAACCUUCAGGAGUUUGUCAGGUUUAGUUACAACCAUGAGAACAGAUGAUCGAGCACCGGAUUUCAGAAAAAAUCUAAAUUCAUGUAAACUGUUCAGCUUUUGGAGCUCUCUCCAUAUAAAAAUAACCCUCAAAAUCUGAGGACAGUCUUUAAAAAUACUUCAACCAAUUUGCUGUUCGGCACCAAAAACUCUGAUUGUUUCCCUCCUUUACUGCAGCACUAAAGGAAUUAGAUCUUUAGUAUCUCUGUUGAUGGACUGUUGCCUCAUUCAAACACUUAGAGAACAAAUGCAAUCUGACUAACAGUAGUUUAAAUGUCAGUUACCCCAGAUUACUGCAUCGUGAUGCCAAAUUUUCAUUUUUAACAUAUUUUUAGUUUAUAUCUGACUCAAAAUUACAUAAACAGGUGGUAAAAGACAGUAAAACAUUGUGUUAGAGAUGGUAAUGAUACAUUUCACCAAUUUCUAUGUUUUGCUUUUUAGAUUUUUACUAAAACGAUAUGUCCAAAAUUAUUCUAUAAAAUUGUCUCAGAUUUCAGAAAAUGCCAUUUCUUUCUCAUUUUAAAUAUUCUAAAGCUCCUGUUAAGGUUAACUAUUGAGAGAAUCUGUGCAGUUGUGACUCUGAUGCUAGAAAAAUGUCUAAAUUAUGUGACAUUUUCCUAAAUAUAUAGAGAACACAUCAAACAAAAGAAAGUAAUUCAUCAACGUACAACAUGUCAUCAGCAUAUGUGGAGACUCUGCAGUGUCAGUGAGUGACGGGCCUCCACCUGGACACCAGGUGUGUCAGUUCCUGAUCGUCCCCUGAUUGAUCCACCUGUGAUCUGGUGUCUCAACUGCAUUUCAUCUCCUCUGCUUCUAUUCUUCUCUCAGACUGAGCUGCUGUCUACAGGGAGCUCCAGCAGCAUGGUAGGUUCUGGUUUUACUGCACAUGUGUGGAAAUAAACUCCCUUUUAGUCUCCAUACCGGGCCGUGUCCCGGUUUAGUUACAGCUUCGGAGCCAAGCUGUAACAAAGAGGAAUGAUGAUCUCCUCUGUGAAAUCCUCACAUUUGUUUGGAUAAAAUCCAGCUUCUACAUCAUUCCAGAUGUUGCUGGUGAAUCCUACCAUGUUCUAGAGGGUUCCAGUGCACUAUAAAGGUAGAACAACUGGUGCAGUAGUUCUCUAGUCACUUACUGGUCAGUUCCAAGUCAUGGCUGAAACCAAAGAGCUCAGUUGUGACUUUGAUGCUGAAAAAUGUAUAAAUUCUGUGAAUAUCUCCAAAAUUUGUUGAGCAAAUCAUACAAAAGAAAGUCAUUUGUCAAUGUAAAAAAACAUGUCAUCAGCGUAUGUGGAAAGCUUAAGGUCAAAAAGAGAAUGAAGGGAAAAUGAGGAUUUAUAUUUCUUGAAAUUGUCACAUUUGUUUUGAGAAAAUGCCACUUCUACAUCAUUUCAGAUGUUCCUGGUAGUUUCUACCACUUUCUAGAGGGUUCUAAUACACUAUGAUGCAGUAGUUCUCUUGUCACUUACUAGUCAGUUCCAAGUCAUCGCUGAAACCAAAGAGCUCAGUUGUGACUUUGAUUCUAGAAAAAUGUAUAAAUUAUGUGACUGUUUCCUAAAUAUAAAGAGAACACACAGAUUAAAAUAAAGUAAUUCAUAAAUGUACAACAGCAUGUCAUCAGCGUAUGUGGAAACUCUGCAGUGUCAGUGAGACAAAGAAGAGGAAUAAUGAUCUAUACUCAGUAAAAUCCUCACAUUUGUUUGGAUAAAAUUCAUCAAUACAAUGUUUUACUGUGUUUUGUCAUUUUUUUAAUGUCAUUUCCUGUCAGUCAAAUAAAACUUUAUUGUAAUUUUUGUCCGUACGGGGAAUAAUUUGCGGUAAAACUGGAGUUAAAGCAGCGGUUCCAGAACAGGUUCAGUUUAACCUCUGGAUGUUUAUUUAAGUAUCUUCUAGAUCUCUGAAGAGGUUUGAAUAUGUCAUUAUUUCAUAAACAGAGAAAACACACUUUUAUUUGUGUAACUGAAGUGUUUAUUUUUAUGGGGUUUCAUCACUCCCACUGUAAACCACUGGCACGUCAUAAACAAGCAUAAAAAUAAUUCAAAUUAAUCUGAAAUGAUGUUUUCCUGUGCUUUCAGUCACUUCCAGUCUGAAUAAACAGAUAAAAUCCAACUUAAAUCAAUAUUUUAACUGAUGAGGUCCAAGUUUUAAUUGAUUUUGAUAUUGUUGUGCCUUAAUUUCAUUGAUUUCAGUUUUGGUUUUUGAACAGUAAUUUGCAUGAAAACACGAGUCCUUUCCACUGAAAUGAGCCAAACUCUCAUCACUUCUGCUCUGUUACCAUCUGAUUACUGCACAAAUAAUUCAAAUCCAUCCUGAACGUCUCAAACAGCAGGUCUGAAGAAGGUUUAGCUCUAGUUUUUGUCAUUUAAAUCCAGAAUAAACCUAUUGGUGAAAUAAAAAUUCACUCUAAAUCCAGAUGAAUAACUGGAGGCCUCGCUGAAAAUCCACCUGUAAAAUAUUCAUCAUGUGCAGUUUUUCUGAUCUUCUCAGGUUUCUAAACUCCUCCCAGAUCUUCUCUGCAUCUCCUGCAGACUUUUUACCUCCAGAGGAACCUUUUCAUUCAUUUUAAAAUCAGCUCAGAGUUGCAGCUGCUGUCAGAAACCUGGAGGAUGAUCUGCUGCUUCUACUUCUGCUCCGUGCUGCUGCGGGAGUCCUUCCUCCUUCUCCGUGCGUGAGGCUGGAGGUGCGUGAGGCUGGAGGUGCAUGUUUCUCCUCCUCUCCUCCUCGGGGCUUUGCGUGCCUCUCCUGCCGGGUGCGCGGUUCACAGCUGUCCCCUGGUUGGGGUCAUACAUGCGGGGGCUCGUCCGUGCGUCCGUGCGUGCGUGCGUGCGUGCCCUGAGUGAAUGUGUGGCGGAGUGCACGAGUGUGAGCAGCAGAUGGUGACCUUUCGGAGUGAAUUACCAUGAACCCUGUGACUCUCCGCUUUCACUCUCCUCCCGGGUCCGCGCACACGCACGCGGCUGGCAGCUCAGCAGCGGAGAAUGCGCAGUUUGGUGAUUUGGGGCUGUAAAGUAGGCCAGCCGCGUCCCGGAGCGGCUCCGUCACCGUGCGUGGACGUCAGCGUGACGUCGGGACCGUGAACAGCUGGAGUAGUCGUGACCGCGUGCUCGUCGGCGACGGCGGCGCGCUUCACUCCAGGAAGCUUCGUUUCAGCACCAAGGCCAGGGCUCGCGGCGAGAACAAUAGGCGGCUCCGCGCACGCGCUCUGCGCCCAGGGAGCGUGCGCAAGCAGUUGACCCACAAAAAAGCGGAGAAGUCUGAUUUAAAGUCCCGCAUCUCCAUGGAAACGAACAACAUGCCAGAAUAAAUUACACAGAAUGAAAUAGAAAAUACACAGAAAGACCCAAAUAGAGAAGAAAAUCAGCAAAAAUAUAAAUAAAACAAAAAAAUAUAAAAUAUAAAAAUAAUGAUAAUAUAUAAACCCAAAUAUAUAAGAAAAUGAGUAAAAAAGAGAAAAAUAUAUAUAAACAAAUUUAGAAAAAUAGAAUUUUAAAAUAGAAUUUAAAAAAUAAAACUGAUGUAUUUCUGCAACAGUGGGUUUUACAGGGUCAAAAAUUAUUUAUUUCACUAAAAUUGAAAGGAUCAACAUUUUUCAUGGUAGUUUCACAAACAAUGCAUAUUUAAUAAUUUUUAUUUUGAUUUCGCACUAAUCCCUUCCUGUCCUGUUUGUCAGCUGGCUCUCUAACAUCUUCAUGUUGUACAACUUUUCAUUUUUAACAGAAUUUUGUUUGAGAAAACAUUAUUUUUGGUGUCAAGUGAUGUUUAAUGAAAUAUCGCCAUUUUUAGCUGAGAAAUUUGAUUCACUGGUCAAAAAAAUAAUCCUGAAUUUUAGUCACCUGAGUGCUGCUCACAGCUGACUCACUGAAAGCUUUCUGAUUGGAUGAAGAUCCGCAGAAGUUUUGCUUUUUUUUACAGAAUCUGGUUCAAGCAAAAAAUAGUCUUUUAGUGAUUUUUUUUUUUUUUUUUUAAAUUUUAAACAUCUAGAGAUUCAGCACAGAGAUCUGGUGCAGUACUGCCAAGCAUGGAGGUGGCAGCAUCAUUACACUAUCAAUGUAAUGAUGCUGCCACUCAGACUUGGUUCUUCAUCAGUCCACAGGUUCUUGAUGAGUUUGAGUCAGGACUUUGGGGAGACCAGUCUAGAACCUUCAUUCUAUCCUGAUGGAACCAUUUCUUUACCACGUCUGAUGUGUGUUUGGGCUCAUGGUCUCGCUGAAACAUCCAACUGUGUCCAAGAUCAACCUUCUGCUGAUGGUUUUAGGUUUUCCUGAAGAAUGUGGAGGUGAUCCUCCUCCUUCUUCAUUAUUCCAUUUACUUUGUGGAAAGCUCCAGUUCCACAGAGCAUGAUACUGCCACCACCAUGCUUGGUGGAAGGUUUGGUGUUCUUGAGGUUAAAAAAAGACCUGCCUAAGAGAGUCUGAAACCAGUCCUAAAGCAGUCCUGAAAAGGUCUAAAACCAGGACCAAAAUCUGGACUAAACCAAACGUAAACUACUCUUUAAAAAUCCAAGACAGUCUGACACCAGUCCUAUACCAGUCCUAAAAAGGUCUAAAACCAGGACCAGAACCAAAUUUAAACUGUCAGGCUGGCAGCUGUCAGGCCUAGAUGGUGCUCUCUCUCUCUUUUCUCCGCCUCUUUUUCCUUUUUAGGUUUGUCAGCAGUGCAGUUGCAGCGCAGGUGUCUCUCAUUGACAAUCAUCAUCAGCUGGUGCAGGAGCAGGUGGAGAAGUUGCCAAUCAAGCUCCACUCUGGCCACAAUAUAACCAGAGGCCACUAACCUCUCAGCGCUGGAUGGUGACACAUCCCGGUUUCACCUGCUCCUGCCUCAAUUCUUCCUUGUUUCCUCGUCACCUCCAGUAUCCUGUUCCGUUCAAGCGUUCUGGAAAUACCCACCUGUGCCGUUCUCCUCCAACCUGGCGUUCUUCCACAUUCACCUGUUGCUGCAAUUCGCCAUUCAUCAUCCUGACUCAAGAAUCACUCGUCUAGAUCCACCAGCCGCUUACAGUCAUGAGCCCAGUCUGAGCAUCUUAGUUUGUAUCUGUGAGUCUGUCCUAGAAAACUGAAUUUAGCUUUGUUUAUUUGAAUAGCAGCUCUUGAAUUUUUGUAUCGGGUCCAGUAAUAAUCUAGAGUCUCAAAUUUACUAAGUAUUGAUUUCUGAUUUAAUACCUAGUAUCUGGAGUUUUCUUGAACUGAGGAUUUUGAAAUUGGUUUUGUUCCUGGAGUUAGUUUUAGGUUAGUAAUAAUCUUCCAAUUAAUCUUGGUUAUUAUUGACUAUCAUUCAGGCCUCCUAGUUGAUGCCUCGCUUUAAGUUGAACCUUUUUGUAUUCUCAAUCCUCAUAUUCGUAAAGCUUUCUUGCCUGGGUUAUACCCAACGUGAGUCAGUAUAUUUGAGCUUUAGUAUUUAGUUGUCCCUGCCUCAAGUAGUCGCCAGGAGAUUUUCAGAGGGCUUACGUUUUUUCCCGGUUUGUAGUAUUUCUAGUAGAAUACCUAAGUUUCUGUCUUGAAACCGUUUUUUGAGAUUCUGUAAAUAAAAUUCCUUUUUUGCAUUUAAA